AAUCAACGCUGGCGGCGUGCAUAACACAUGCAAGUCAAGGGGGUCAGUAGCAAUACUGGCAACCGGCGAACGGGUGCGUAACACGUAAGCGACCUACCUCAAUGUGGGGCAUAGCCGGCCUAACGGCCGGGUAAUUCCGCAUGUGAUCUUGGAGGGGCAUCUCUCCGGGAUGAAACCAGUAAUGGGCAUUGAGAGGGGCUUGCGGCCUAUCAGCUUGUUGGGAGGUAACGGCUCACCAAGGCUACGACGGGUAGCUGGUCUGAGAGGAUGGCCAGCCACAUUGGGACUGAGAAACGGCCCAGACUCCUACGGGAGGCAGCAGUGGGGAAUCUUGCGCAAUGGCCGAAAGGCUGACGCAGCGACGCCGCGUGU
Molecule: ribosomal RNA, 372 nt
Filed under: uncultured bacterium
Lineage: Bacteria
Description: bacterial SSU rRNA
Rfam family: Bacterial small subunit ribosomal RNA
Source: RNAcentral